AGAUUACCGGAGGUAGAGCACUGAAUAGGCUAGGGGGCGAUGAGCUUACUGAACCUUAUCAAACUCCGAAUGCCGGCUAAUCGUUCAUCAGCAGUCAGUCAGUGUGAGAUAAGUUUCAUUGACAAGAGGGAAACAGCCCAGACCCACAGCUAAGGUCCCAAAGAUACGCUAAGUGGAAAACGAUGUGGAGUUGCAAAAACAACCAGGAUGUUGGCUUAGAGGCAGCCACUCAUUAAAAGAGUGCGUAAUAGCUCACUGGUCGAGUGACUCUGCGCGGAAAAUAUAACGGGGCUAAGCAUAUAACCGAAGCUUGGGAACUCUAGUGACUUGGUAGGGGAGCGUCGAAUACGGGGUGAAGUACGAGCGAGAGCACGUGUGGACUGUAUUCGAGUGAGAAUGCCGGAAUGAGUAGCGAGAAUUAUGUGGGAAUCAUAAUGGCCGAAAAUCUAAGGUUUCUUGGGGAAGGUUCGUCCGCCCAAGGUAAGCCGGGAGCUAAGGCGAGGCCGCGAGGCGUAGUCGAUGCACACACGGUUGAAAUUCCGUGGCCGCCGAAAGAUUUAAGCACAGGGACACAUUGGGAUAUCCGAACCCGGGCGUUGGUUGACUCGGGCGAAAGGGACCGAACAUCAGUAGGGAAGUCGGAGAUGCCCAGUGGCGAGAAAAGCUGUAUGUAUGUAUGAGGUGCCCGUACCGCAAACCGACACAGGUAGAUGAGGAGAGAAUCCUAAGGCCAACGGGAGAAGGGUUGUUAAGGAACUCGGCAAAUUGACCCCGUAACUUCGGGAUAAGGGGAGCCGGCCACGGCCGGCCGCAGAGAAUAGGCCCAAGCAACUGUUUACCAAAAACACAGGUCUCUGCUAAAU
RNAcentral lists this non-coding RNA (863 nucleotides) under Haemonchus placei. Its description in RNAcentral is "Bacterial large subunit ribosomal RNA". It matches the Rfam family "Bacterial large subunit ribosomal RNA", at positions 890 to 1831 of the family's 2925-position model. The record is from Rfam by way of RNAcentral. Lineage: Eukaryota; Metazoa; Nematoda; Chromadorea; Rhabditida; Trichostrongylidae.